This 443-nucleotide ribosomal RNA is filed under the name uncultured bacterium. RNAcentral describes it as "bacterial SSU rRNA". It matches the Rfam family "Bacterial small subunit ribosomal RNA", at positions 1062 to 1504 of the family's 1533-position model. The record is from RNAcentral.
GUGUCGUGAGAUGUUGGGUCAAGUCCCGCAACGAGCGCAACCCUUGUCCUUAGUUACCAGCGGUUUGGCCGGGAACUCUAAGGAUACUGCCAGUGACAAACUGGAGGAAGGCGGGGACGACGUCAAGUCAUCAUGGCCCUUACGACCAGGGCUACACACGUGCUACAAUGGUAGGUACAGAGGGCAGCUACACAGCGAUGUGAUGCGAAUCUCAAAAAGCCUAUCGUAGUCCAGAUUGGAGUCUGCAACUCGACUCCAUGAAGUAGGAAUCGCUAGUAAUCGCGGAUCAGAAUGCCGCGGUGAAUACGUUCCCGGGCCUUGUACACACCGCCCGUCACACCAUGGGAGUUGAUUGCACCAGAAGUGGGUAGCCUAACCUUUUAGGAUGGCGCUCACCACGGUGUGGUUGAUGACUGGGGUGAAGUCGUAACAAGGUAACCGUA